RNAcentral lists this ribosomal RNA (588 nucleotides) under uncultured bacterium. Its description in RNAcentral is "partial 16S ribosomal RNA". It matches the Rfam family "Bacterial small subunit ribosomal RNA", at positions 355 to 1376 of the family's 1533-position model. The record is from RNAcentral.
UGGGGAAUAUUGGACAAUGGGCGCAAGCCUGAUCCAGCAAUGCCGCGUGUGUGAAGAAGGCCUUCGGGUUGUAAAGCACUUUUAUCAGGAGCGAAACGCUGUCGGCUAAUACCCGGCGGAACUGACGGUACCUGAGGAAUAAGCACCGGCUAACUUCGUGCCAGCAGCCGCGGUAAUACGAAGGGUGCAAGCGUUAAUCGGAAUUACUGGGCGUAAAGCGUGCGUAGGCGGUUUCUUAAGUCUGCUGUGAAAUCCCCGGGCUCAACCUGGGAAUGGCAGUGGAUACUGGGAGGCUAGAGUGUGUCAGAGGGUGGUGGAAUUCCCGGUGUAGCGGUGAAAUGCGUAGAGAUCGGGAGGAACAUCAGUGGCGAAGGCGGCCACCUGGGACGACACUGACGCUGAGGCACGAAAGCGUGGGGAGCAAACAGGAUUAGAUACCCUGGUAGUCCACGCCCUAAACGAUGCGAACUGGAUGUUGGUCUCAACUCGGAGAUCAGUGUCGAAGCUAACGCGUUAAGUUCGCCGCCUGGGGAGUACGGUCGCAAGACUGAAACUCAAAUGAAUUGACGGGGUCAUAGCUGUUUCCUG